UGGAGCUCCCCUUACACAUGCACGCACAGAGGUCUGCUUUUUUCCCUCAGUGCCCUGAGCCCCCUGUACAUGUUUGCUGUCUGCCUCGCCGCCACCCUCUCGUGUGAGUCAGCGAUCUGGGAGGGGUGGUGGCAGGCUGCUGAUCUCUUUAGCCCAGGUCCUUUGGUCAGUAAGGCGCUUGCCUUCCCCCAGGGAUGAAUUCCUGUCAACAAGGUGGUUCAUUGACAUUCUGCUGUGAAGAUGGAAGAAAUCUGCCUGUAGCAACACAGCAAUGGCAAGGAAAGUCACCAUAUCAGCACAAAUCUGAACAUGUGCUGAAACACUCUCCCAAACUGGAGCUGAAAUCAGUGACCCUGCAGUUUUCCUGUGCUUUGGACACUCACUGCCAUCCUAUUGGAGCAUGCCAUCCUAAUUCUGCCAUCCUAUUUCUGCAUGUCUGA
This 440-nucleotide long non-coding RNA is filed under the name Dromaius novaehollandiae (emu). RNAcentral describes it as "lncRNA (ENSDNVG00000001123.1)". The record is from RNAcentral. Lineage: Eukaryota; Metazoa; Chordata; Aves; Casuariiformes; Dromaiidae.